Molecule: long non-coding RNA, 432 nt
Organism: Trachemys scripta elegans
Lineage: Eukaryota; Metazoa; Chordata; Testudines; Emydidae
Exons: 2
Source: RefSeq, a predicted model, not a curated record
CCACGCGCGAGUGGCGGAGGUUGCCGCAGCAUCCGGAGCUAAGGACCCGGAGUGAGCGGAGCGUGUCGAGCGGCCGCUCUCUGGUUACCCGGCCUUGGGCUCCCUCCGGGGCGGCCGGUCCUGCCAGGCAGACGCGGAACGUGACUUUGAUUUCACUGCGAUACUUGAGCAAGUAAACACAUGCUAAAGGAUGGCACAUGUGCUGAAAUGUUGAAGUCAAAGGAAGUAAACAGAAACUGAAAUUGUAUGUUCUUACCUUGUUUUGCUCAGAUGUGUACUGUAUUUUUAGAGUAUCCAUAGCUCUGAUCAUCGCUUGUAUGGCGGUAAAUAUGUUUUGAUAAACCAGUUUUGUGAAGCUUUUCCUAUCUUCAUCUGUGUAACCUGACCCAUGAAUAAUCCUCAUCUGUUUAAUAAAGGUGCUUUUUCCACUUU